RNAcentral lists this ribosomal RNA (616 nucleotides) under Malassezia nana. RNAcentral describes it as "eukaryotic LSU rRNA". It matches the Rfam family "Eukaryotic large subunit ribosomal RNA", at positions 51 to 659 of the family's 3401-position model. The record is from RNAcentral. Lineage: Eukaryota; Fungi; Basidiomycota; Malasseziomycetes; Malasseziales; Malasseziaceae.
CGGAGGAAAAUAAACUAACAAGGAUUCCCCUAGUAACGGCGAGCGAAGCGGGAAGAGCUCAAAUUUGAAAGCUGGCGCCUUCGGCGUCCGCGUUGUAAUCUCGAGACGUGUUUUCCGUGCGGCGCUAUGGACAAGUCCCUUGGAACAGGGCAUCGUAGAGGGUGAAAAUCCCGUACUUGCCAUGGAUGUACCGUGCUUUGUGAUACACGCUCUAAGAGUCGAGUUGUUUGGGAUUGCAGCUCAAAAUGGGUGGUAGACUCCAUCUAAAGCUAAAUAUCGGGGAGAGACCGAUAGCGAACAAGUACCGUGAGGGAAAGAUGAAAAGCACUUUGGAAAGAGAGUUAAAAGUACGUGAAAUUGUCGAAAGGGAAGCGCUUGAAGUCAGCCAUGCUGCGCGGACUCAGCCCGGCUGAUGCCUGGUGUAUUUCCCAGCAGCAAGCCAGCAUGGAUUUGGGUCGCCGGAGAAGGGCACGAGGAAUGUGGCACUUCGUGUGUGUUAAGCCUCGUGCUGGAUACGGCGAGCUGGAUCCAGGAACGCAGUGUGCCUCUGGCGGGUCUUCGGACACCUUCACACUUAGGAUGCUGGCGUAAUGGCUUUAAGCGGCCCGUCUUGAAA